This 2186-nucleotide long non-coding RNA is filed under the name Gallus gallus (chicken). RNAcentral's name for it is "lncRNA (ENSGALG00010009714.1)". Lineage: Eukaryota; Metazoa; Chordata; Aves; Galliformes; Phasianidae. The record is from RNAcentral.
CGCUAUGGGGUAAUAUGGAGCGCUAUGGGGUAAUAUGGAGCGCUAUGGGGGCACAUGGAGUGCUAUGGGGCAGCACCGGCCCCAUAGCAGCCCCUGCCCCACAGCGGCACCCCUCCCUAUGGCACCCCAUGGUGGUGGGGUGGCUGCUGUGGGGUAGGGGGUGCUGUGGGUCCGAUGCUGCUAUGGGGCAGGUGGUGCCAUAGGGUGGUUCCAUGGGGUGGGCUGCUGCUGUGGGGCAGGGGUUGCUGUGGGUCAGAGGCUGCUAUGGGGCAGGUGGUGCCAUAGGGUGCUGCCAUGGGGCGGGUGGAGCCACGGGGGUGGCGCUAUGGGGUGGGGUGCAGCUGUGGGGCAGGGGCUACUGUGGGUCAGAGGCUGCUAUGGGGCAGGUGGUGCCAUAGGGUGGUGCCAUGGGGUGGGCUGCUGCUGUGGGGCCGAUGCAGCUAUAGGGCAGGUGGUGCCAUAGGGUGGUGCCAUGGGGUGGGCUGCUGCUGUGGGUCAGAUGCUGCUAUGGGGCAGGUGGUGCCAUGGGGUGGCGCUAUGGGGUGGGCUGCUGCUGUGGGGCUGGUGCAGCUGUGGGGCAGGUGGUGCCAUAGGGGGCUGCAAUGGGGCAGAUGGUGCCAUGGGGUGGCGCUAUGGGGUGGAGUGCUGCUGUGGGGCAGGGGCUGCUGUGGGUCAGAUGCUGCUAUGGGGCAGGGGGGUGCCAUAGGGUGGGGUGCCGGUAUGGGGAAGGGGCUGCUAUGGGGCCGGUGCUGCCCCAUUGAACUCCAUGUGGCCCCAUAGCGCUCCAUAUUACCCCAUAGCUCUCCAGAUUACCCCAUAGCGCUCCAUAUAACCCCAUAGCGCUCCAUAUUACCCCAUAGCGCUCCAUAUUACCCCAUAGCGCUCCAUAUUGCCCCAUAGCGCUCUGUGUGCCCCCAUAGCACUCCAUGUUACCCCAUAGCGCUCCAUAUUACCCCAUAGCACUCCAUGUGCCCCCAUAGCGCUCCAUAUAACCCCAUAGCACUCCAUAUUACCCCAUAGCGCUCCAUAUUACACCAUAGCACUCCAUAUUACCCCAUAGCGCUCCAUAUAACCCCAUAGCUCUCCAUAUUACCCCAUAGCGCUCCAUAUUACCCCAUAGCACUCCAUGUGACCCCAUAGCUCUCCAUAUAACCCCGUAGCGCUCCAUAUUACUCCAUAGCACUCCAUAUUACCCCAUAGCACUCCAUGUGGCCCCAUAGCACUCCAUAUUACCCCAUAGCGCUCCAUAUGGCUCCAUAGCGGUCCAUAUAACCCCAUAGCGCUCCAUAUUACCCCAUAGGACUCCAUGUGACCCCAUAGCACUCCAUAUCACCCCAUAGCACUCAUUGUUGCCCCACAGCACUCCAUGUGCCCCCAUAGCGCUCCAUAUAACCCCAUAGAGCUCCACGUUGCCCCACAGCACUCCUUGUGGCCCCAUAGCGCUCCAUAUUACCCCAUAGCGCUCCAUGUGUCCCCAUAGCCCUCCAUAUUACCCCAUAGCACUCCAUGUGACCCCAUAGCACUCAUUGUUGCCCCACAGCACUCCAUGUGCCCCCAUAGCCCUCCAUAUUACCCCAUAGAGCUCUGUGUGGCCCCAUAGCACUCCAUAUUACCCCAUAGCGCUCCAUAUUACCCCAUAGCGCUCCAUAUUACCCCAUAGAGCUCCAUGUUACCCCAUAGCACUCCAUGUGGCCCCAUAGCGCUCCAUAUUACCCCAUAGCGCUCCGUGUGUCCCCAUAGCCCUCCAUAUUACCCCAUAGCACUCCAUGUGCCCCCAUAGCACUCCAUAUUACCCCAUAGCGCUCCAUAUAACCCCAUAGCACUCCAUAUUACCCCAUAGCGCUCCAUAUUACAACAUAGCACUCCAUAUUACCCCAUAGCGCUCCAUAUUACCCCAUAGCGCUCCAUAUAACCCCAUAGCGCUCCAUAUAACCCCAUAGCACUCCAUGUGCCCCCAUAGCAUUCCAUAUUACCCCACAGCAUUCCAUAUAACCCCAUAGCAUUCCAUAUUACCCCAUAGCGCUCCAUAUAACCCCAUAGCACUCCAUAUUACCCCAUAGCGCUCCAUAUUACAACAUAGCACUCCAUAUUACCCCAUAGCGCUCCAUAUUACCCCAUAGCGCUCCGUGUGUCCCCAUAGCCCUCCAUAUUACCCCAUAGCACUCCAUGUGACCCCAUAGCGCUCC